This 1518-nucleotide ribosomal RNA is filed under the name Bacillus safensis. RNAcentral describes it as "bacterial SSU rRNA". It matches the Rfam family "Bacterial small subunit ribosomal RNA". The record is from RNAcentral. Lineage: Bacteria; Bacillati; Bacillota; Bacilli; Caryophanales; Bacillaceae.
UGAUUCAUGGCUCAGGACGAACGCUGGCGGCGUGCUUAAUACAUGCAAGUCGAGCGGACAGAAGGGAGCUUGCUCCCGGAUGUUAGCGGCGGACGGGUGAGUAACACGUGGGUAACCUGCCUGUAAGACUGGGAUAACUCCGGGAAACCGGAGCUAAUACCGGAUAGUUCCUUGAACCGCAUGGUUCAAGGAUGAAAGACGGUUUCGGCUGUCACUUACAGAUGGACCCGCGGCGCAUUAGCUAGUUGGUGGGGUAAUGGCUCACCAAGGCGACGAUGCGUAGCCGACCUGAGAGGGUGAUCGGCCACACUGGGACUGAGACACGGCCCAGACUCCUACGGGAGGCAGCAGUAGGGAAUCUUCCGCAAUGGACGAAAGUCUGACGGAGCAACGCCGCGUGAGUGAUGAAGGUUUUCGGAUCGUAAAGCUCUGUUGUUAGGGAAGAACAAGUGCGAGAGUAACUGCUCGCACCUUGACGGUACCUAACCAGAAAGCCACGGCUAACUACGUGCCAGCAGCCGCGGUAAUACGUAGGUGGCAAGCGUUGUCCGGAAUUAUUGGGCGUAAAGGGCUCGCAGGCGGUUUCUUAAGUCUGAUGUGAAAGCCCCCGGCUCAACCGGGGAGGGUCAUUGGAAACUGGGAAACUUGAGUGCAGAAGAGGAGAGUGGAAUUCCACGUGUAGCGGUGAAAUGCGUAGAGAUGUGGAGGAACACCAGUGGCGAAGGCGACUCUCUGGUCUGUAACUGACGCUGAGGAGCGAAAGCGUGGGGAGCGAACAGGAUUAGAUACCCUGGUAGUCCACGCCGUAAACGAUGAGUGCUAAGUGUUAGGGGGUUUCCGCCCCUUAGUGCUGCAGCUAACGCAUUAAGCACUCCGCCUGGGGAGUACGGUCGCAAGACUGAAACUCAAAGGAAUUGACGGGGGCCCGCACAAGCGGUGGAGCAUGUGGUUUAAUUCGAAGCAACGCGAAGAACCUUACCAGGUCUUGACAUCCUCUGACAACCCUAGAGAUAGGGCUUUCCCUUCGGGGACAGAGUGACAGGUGGUGCAUGGUUGUCGUCAGCUCGUGUCGUGAGAUGUUGGGUUAAGUCCCGCAACGAGCGCAACCCUUGAUCUUAGUUGCCAGCAUUCAGUUGGGCACUCUAAGGUGACUGCCGGUGACAAACCGGAGGAAGGUGGGGAUGACGUCAAAUCAUCAUGCCCCUUAUGACCUGGGCUACACACGUGCUACAAUGGACAGAACAAAGGGCUGCAAGACCGCAAGGUUUAGCCAAUCCCAUAAAUCUGUUCUCAGUUCGGAUCGCAGUCUGCAACUCGACUGCGUGAAGCUGGAAUCGCUAGUAAUCGCGGAUCAGCAUGCCGCGGUGAAUACGUUCCCGGGCCUUGUACACACCGCCCGUCACACCACGAGAGUUUGCAACACCCGAAGUCGGUGAGGUAACCUUUAUGGAGCCAGCCGCCGAAGGUGGGGCAGAUGAUUGGGGUGAAUUCUACAAAGGGGGAACACAAAGGGGGGGG